GGAGGAAAAGAAACCAACAGGGAUUGCCCCAGUAACGGCGAGUGAAGCGGCAACAGCUCAAAUUUGAAAUCUGGUCCCUAGGGCCCGAGUUGUAAUUUGUAGAGGAUGCUUUUGGUGAGGUGCCGCCCGAGUUCCCUGGAACGGGACGCCACAGAGGGUGAGAGCCCCGUCUGGCUGGCCGCCGAGCCUCUGUAAAGCUCCUUCGACGAGUCGAGUAGUUUGGGAAUGCUGCUCAAAAUGGGAGGUAUAUGUCUUCUAAAGCUAAAUAUUGGCCAGAGACCGAUAGCGCACAAGUAGAGUGAUCGAAAGAUGAAAAGCACCUUGAAAAGAGGGUUAAAUAGUACGUGAAAUUGUUGAAAGGGAAGCGCUUGUGACCAGACUUGGGCGCGGCGGAUCAUCCGGGGUUCUCUCCGGUGCACUUCGCCGCGUCUAGGCCAGCAUCAGUUCGUCGCGGGGGAAAAAGGCUUCGGGAACGUGGCUCCUCCGGGAGUGUUAUAGCCCGUUGCAUAAUACCCUGCGGUGGACUGAGGACCGCGCAUCUGCAAGGAUGCUGGCGUAAUGGUCACCAGCGACCCGUCUUG
This 581-nucleotide ribosomal RNA is filed under the name Trichoderma harzianum. Its description in RNAcentral is "partial large subunit ribosomal RNA". It matches the Rfam family "Eukaryotic large subunit ribosomal RNA", at positions 52 to 656 of the family's 3401-position model. Lineage: Eukaryota; Fungi; Ascomycota; Sordariomycetes; Hypocreales; Hypocreaceae. The record is from RNAcentral.